RNAcentral lists this ribosomal RNA (253 nucleotides) under uncultured bacterium. RNAcentral describes it as "partial 16S ribosomal RNA". It matches the Rfam family "Bacterial small subunit ribosomal RNA", at positions 524 to 776 of the family's 1533-position model. The record is from RNAcentral.
UACGUAGGGUGUGAGCGUUAAUCGGAAUUACUGGGCGUAAAGCGUGCGCAGGCGGUUUUGUAAGUCAGAUGUGAAAUCCCCGGGCUUAACCUGGGAAUGGCAUUUGGGACUGCAAGGCUCGAGUGCGGCAGAGGAGACUGGAAUUCCUGGUGUAGCAGUGAAAUGCGUAGAUAUCAGGAGGAACACCGAUGGCGAAGGCAGGUCUCUGGGCUGACACUGACGCUCAUGCACGAAAGCGUGGGGAGCAAACAGG